CAACACUGGGCGUCUGCAGUUUGAUUUUCGUUUUGACACGUGCAUUUGAGUUUUUCGUAAAAUUUAACUCCAAAACUUUCAUCAGGAAAUGGGUCGUGGACGACGAGGAUCUAAGCGUGGAAAUUUCAAAAACCAUGGAUCACGUAACUCAUCUUCACGUGGUCGAGGCAAUUUCAAAAACAAACGAAAAUUCAACAGAGAUGGAGACAGAAAAAAGGAUGCUGAAUCAGAUAAUAAAAGGCAGAAGCUUCAGCCCGAAAAAGAAAGUGAACCGCUUGUAGAGGAAUCGUCGUCAAGUAGCGAGUCAGAGGAAGAAGUGAAGCCUUAUACCCAACUCCUGUCGAUGUUUAAAUCUGGUAACAGGGCACAGCAAGUUUUGACAUCUGAUGAAGAGGAAUCAGAAGAUGUUGGUUCUGAAGACAAAUCUGAAGAAGCUGAUAGCAGAAGCGAAGGGGAUAGUGUUUCUGAAUCAGGAGAUGAAGGUAUGGAUGAAGAUGAUAUAGAGGAUGAAGAUGAUGAAGAAGAAGAUGAUGAAGAAGAAGAAAGAGAUUUACUCGGAGUUCAAGAAGCUGAUGAAGUUGAAGAAGAUCAUGAAGAACUAGACGAAGAAGAGCAUGAAGAUGAAACAGAGGAAGAACCUUCUGGUGAUGAAGAAGAAAUGGGUUCAUCAACUGACCCAUACCACCUUCACUAUGAAAGAGAAAUGAGUGAAUCUCUUUUAGAAACUUUAACAUCUCCGAAGCCUUAUCAGACUCAGGAACUAAAUUGGAAAGCACUUGGAAGAAUGGUGAUCCAUCUACCAGCAAAAGUUGACAGGAAAAUGGAGAAACCUAAACCUGUACUGUUAGGUGAAACAACAGAAAAAUAUGUGAUUCCUGGUACACUGCCAAUACUGAAAACUGGAAUCCCACUAGUAGAUUAUGGAGUUAAAUCACAAUUAUGUACCAACCUUGACAAGCGACCACUCUCUGAUAGUAGCACCCAGACGGCCGAAGAACUGCUCUCUCCUUUGCAGCAUGAGAUUUUCAGUCUCGCAAACGAGUAUCGCGAUAUAUAUUAUCCUGAAAUGAACCACUUAAAUAGCGAUGAAAUUCGAACAGUUUAUUGCCUCCAUUCCUUGAAUCACGUUAUGAAGUCAAGAGAUAAAGUUUUGCUUCAUAAUGCUAAAUUAAAAAAGUAUAAGGAAAAUGGCCAACCGACUGACGAUGUCGAAUUUCGAGACCAGGGUCUAGUUCGCCCUCGAGUUCUAAUUAUCGCUCCGCUGAGGAAUUCUGCAGUUAAGAUUGUGGAGAAAUUGGCCUCACUGCUUCUUCCUGUGAAAGGGCAAAUUAUCAAUAAGGACCGCUUCUAUAAAGAGUUUGGCGAGGAGAAGGAUGAAGAGGACAAAAAAGAGAAUAAAAAGAGUUACAAGCCUGAAGAUUACGAAGCUGUUUUUACAGGAAACACUGAUGAUUCUUUUCGAAUAGGAAUUUCGGUUGCUAAACGUACUCUAAAGUUAUAUGCUGGAUUCUACAAGGCCGAUAUUCUUAUCGCAUCUCCGCUGGGAGCACGAACGCUACUUGCUGAUGAUUUUGACUUUCUUUGUAGCAUAGAAGUACUUGUGAUAGACCAAACGGAUAUUCUCUACAUGCAAAAUUGGGAUCAUGUGCUUCAUAUUUUUCAACACUUGCACCUUCAACCACGAGAACAACAUGACACCGACUUGGGACGUGUUCGUCUUUGGGCGCUAAACGGUUACUCCGCUCACUAUAGACAGAAUUUAAUUUUUAGCAGCGUAGCACUUCCGGAAGCUGCGGCGCUCUUUUCUCGCCGUGGAACAAACUUUGCCGGCAAGGUGCGUGUAGAAAAUGUGGUUUUACCCUCAGCAACAACCGUUUGCCGUGUUCUUGUUCAACUACCUCAAGCAUUUCAUCGAUUUCCAACGCCAACAGCAGCUCAGUCAGCCGACGAUCGUUUUCAUUUCUUCACCAAAAAGAUUCUUCCGCAGUACCGCGAUCUGCUAAUGAGCAACACGCUGAUUUACAUUCCUUCGUAUUAUGAUUACGUAAGACUAAGGAAUCAUCUUCACAAAGAAGAAUACAACUUUGGACAAGCUUGUGAAUAUACACCAGACGGGAAAUUGGCCCAAGUUCGGAAUCGCUUCUUUCUUGGGAAGAAGCGCUUGCUGCUGUAUACAGAGCGCCUUCAUUUUUACAGGCGACUUACCAUGAAGGGAAUUCAUCACGUCGUUUUCUACCAGCUACCAACGUUUCCAAAUUUUUAUCCGGAGCUUUGCAACCUCCUCCAGGAUGCAUUUCAAAAUCCAAAAUAUCGAGGGGAUGGCAGUCAAACUUGCACAGUCCUAUAUUCAACUUAUGACGCCCAGAGACUUGCGGCAAUUGUAGGAAGUCAACGGGCGGCUGAAAUGUUGACUUCAGAUAGACCUGUACACCUUUUUGUUAGUGGAGGAAGUUGACCAAAUGCGCCUAUUCUUUCGUACCUGACACGUGGAGAGUGCACGGCGUCCUAAAUCCGCUUACGUGAGAUGUAUAAGAUGCUACUGAUGUACGAUAACCGUUAUUGUGUUAAGCUUAGUAUAUAUUAGGAGUCGAUUUCUGAUAACCUUCGGCUUAUUCGUGUGAACUCGCUCAAGGCAAUUCACAAACACGAAGAAACCGAUGUGGAACUCAACCGCAUCUAGAUCGCUGCCUGAUUUCGUUCUUUAUUCGUGCCAAGUGUGAUGACUUAAACGAAGCGUUAAAAAAACUCUUGAAUCAGAUCAAGGGUAAGAUUUCUCCAUGUCCGGAAAGUCUCCCAGCUUAUUAGUGCACCUUAAAAACGAACAAAAGAUGGGUUGUUUAGGACAAGGCUACCAGAGGGCUAUAAACUUGCGAUUCGUUAGUAUUCUCUAGUAUGUAUUCCGUAAGUUAUGACGGACAUUAACAAUUGAAAGUAAAUAUAAUAGGCAGUCAUGUAGUCAGUUGAUUGGAAAACUGAAACAAACCACAAAAUAUCAUUAAAUCAUUAAAAAAAGCUUCUAA
Daphnia magna is the source of this 3020-nucleotide RNA transcript. It is a transcript of the gene named U3 small nucleolar RNA-associated protein 25 homolog, with no coding region annotated. The record is from RefSeq and is a predicted model, not a curated record. Lineage: Eukaryota; Metazoa; Arthropoda; Branchiopoda; Diplostraca; Daphniidae. The transcript is spliced from 9 exons.